GAUGAACGCUGGUGGCGUGCCUAACACAUGCAAGUCGAGCGAUUCUCUUCGGAGAAGAGCGGCGGACGGGUGAGUAACGCGUGGGUAACCUGCCCUGUACGCACGGAUAACAUACCGAAAGGUAUGCUAAUACGAGAUAACAUGCUUUUAUCGCAUGGUAGAAGUAUCAAAGCUUUUGCGGUACAGGAUGGACCCGCGUCUGAUUAGCUAGUUGGUGAGGUAACGGCUCACCAAGGCGACGAUCAGUAGCCGACCUGAGAGGGUGAUCGGCCACAUUGGAACUGAGACACGGUCCAAACUCCUACGGGAGGCAGCAGUGGGGAAUAUUGCACAAUGGGCGAAAGCCUGAUGCAGCAACGCCGCGUGAGCGAUGAAGGCCUUCGGGUCGUAAAGCUCUGUCCUCAAGGAAGAUAAUGACGGUACUUGAGGAGGAAGCCCCGGCUAACUACGUG
Molecule: ribosomal RNA, 452 nt
Filed under: uncultured bacterium
Lineage: Bacteria
Description: partial 16S ribosomal RNA
Rfam family: Bacterial small subunit ribosomal RNA
Source: RNAcentral